UNAUUAACGUCUGUCGAAUUAUUAACCCCCUGUUCUUUGCGUACUUCUUGUUUCCUUGGUGGGUUCGCCCACCACUAGGACAAACAUAAACCUUUUGUAAUUGCAAUCAGCGUCAGUAACAAAUUAAUAAUUACAACUUUCAACAACGGAUCUCUUGGUUCUGGCAUCGAUGAAGAACGCAGCGAAAUGCGAUAAGUAGUGUGAAUUGCAGAAUUCAGUGAAUCAUCGAAUCUUUGAACGCACAUUGCGCCCUUUGGUAUUCCAAAGGGCAUGCCUGUUCGAGCGUCAUUUGUACCCUCAAGCUUUGCUUGGUGUUGGGCGUCUUGUCUCUAGCUUUGCUGGAGACUCGCCUUAAAGUAUUGGGCAGCCGGCCUACGGGUUUCGGAGCGCAGCACAAGUCGCACUCUCUAUCAGCAAAGGUCUAGCAUCCAUUAAGCCUUUUUUCAACUUUUGACCUCGGAUCAGGUAGGGAUACCCGCUGAACUUAAG
Molecule: ribosomal RNA, 489 nt
Filed under: Alternaria brassicicola
Lineage: Eukaryota; Fungi; Ascomycota; Dothideomycetes; Pleosporales; Pleosporaceae
Description: eukaryotic LSU rRNA
Rfam family: 5.8S ribosomal RNA (bases 135-288)
Source: RNAcentral